CCUACGGGUGGCUGCAGUGGGGAAUAUUGCACAAUGGGCGAAAGCCUGAUGCAGCAACGCCGCGUGAAGGAAGAAGGGUUUCGGCUCGUAAACUUCUAUCAACAGGGACGCAAGAACUGACGGUACCUGAAUAACAAGCCCCGGCUCACUACGUGCCAGCAGCCGCGGGCAUACGUAGGGGGCAAACGUUAUCCGGAAUUACUGGGUGUAAAGGGUGAGUAGGCGGCAUGGUAAGCCAGAUGUGAAAGCCUUGGGCCUAACACGAGGAUUGCAUUUGGAACUAGCAAGCGAGAGUACAGGAGAAGAAAGCGGAAUUCCUAGUGUAGCGGUGAAAUGCGUAGAUAUUAGGAAGAACACCAGUGGCGAAGGCGGCUUUCUGGACUGAAACUGACGCUGAGGCACGAAAGCGUGGGGAGCGAACAGGAUUAGAUACCCGUGUAGUC
RNAcentral lists this ribosomal RNA (443 nucleotides) under uncultured bacterium. RNAcentral's name for it is "partial 16S ribosomal RNA". It matches the Rfam family "Bacterial small subunit ribosomal RNA", at positions 338 to 795 of the family's 1533-position model. The record is from RNAcentral.